GGGUGCUGCUCAGCAGAAUCCUAAUGAACUGGUGCAUGAGCUAGAAAGAUGCGAGCCCAUGCUAAAGGAGGCUGCUGCAGAACACGCAAAUGGCCGACAGGUACCGGAUGAAGGACUUCCCAGACAAAGGCUUCAAUAGCUCCAACCAAGGACUGCCAGGCAGAAGGAAACGCGGAUGAU
Long non-coding RNA from Hordeum vulgare subsp. vulgare (domesticated barley), 180 nucleotides. RefSeq lists it as uncharacterized. The record is from RefSeq and is a predicted model, not a curated record. NCBI's taxonomy places the organism in Eukaryota, Viridiplantae, Streptophyta, Magnoliopsida, Poales, Poaceae. The transcript is spliced from 3 exons.